AGGCCAGUAGCUCUAAUGGUAGAGCGUCGGUCUCCAAAAUCGAAUGUUGUGGGUUCGAGUCCUACCUGGCCUG
Molecule: transfer RNA, 73 nt
Filed under: Treponema sp.
Lineage: Bacteria; Pseudomonadati; Spirochaetota; Spirochaetia; Treponematales; Treponemataceae
Description: tRNA-Trp
Rfam family: tRNA
About the family: Transfer RNA (tRNA) molecules are approximately 80 nucleotides in length. Their secondary structure includes four short double-helical elements and three loops (D, anti-codon, and T loops).
Source: RNAcentral